This 253-nucleotide ribosomal RNA is filed under the name uncultured bacterium. Its description in RNAcentral is "partial 16S ribosomal RNA". It matches the Rfam family "Bacterial small subunit ribosomal RNA", at positions 524 to 776 of the family's 1533-position model. The record is from RNAcentral.
UACGAAGGGUGCAAGCGUUACUCGGAAUUACUGGGCGUAAAGCGCACGUAGGCGGAUAUUUAAGUCAGGGGUGAAAUCCCGGGGCUCAACCCCGGAACUGCCUUUGAUACUGGGUAUCUAGAGUCCAGAAGAGGUGAGUGGAAUUCCGAGUGUAGAGGUGAAAUUCGUAGAUAUUCGGAGGAACACCAGUGGCGAAGGCGGCUCACUGGUCUGGUACUGACGCUGAGGUGCGAAAGCGUGGGGAGCAAACAGG